AAAGGGAAAGCCGAAAACCUUUACAAAAGAGUAGGUG
Molecule: non-coding RNA, 37 nt
Filed under: unclassified sequences
Description: DUF805b RNA
Rfam family: DUF805b RNA
About the family: Bacteroidetes, Chlorobi (1 example), Proteobacteria. Lineage (Flavobacteria)
Source: RNAcentral